GCCGGUGUGGCUCAGCGGUUGGAGCGUUUGGCUCAUGCACUGAGGGGUUGCAGGUUCGAUUCCUGGUCAAGGGCA
This is a non-coding RNA of Myotis brandtii (Brandt's bat), 75 nucleotides long. The record is from Rfam. NCBI's taxonomy places the organism in Eukaryota, Metazoa, Chordata, Mammalia, Chiroptera, Vespertilionidae.